UCCACGCCGUAAACGAUGUCAACUAGCCGUUGGAAGCCUUGAGCUUUUAGUGGCGCAGCUAACGCAUUAAGUUGACCGCCUGGGGAGUACGGCCGCAAGGUUAAAACUCAAAUGAAUUGACGGGGGCCCGCACAAGCGGUGGAGCAUGUGGUUUAAUUCGAUGCAACGCGAAGAACCUUACCUGGUCUUGACAUCCACAGAACUUUCCAGAGAUGGAUUGGUGCCUUCGGGAACUGUGAGACAGGUGCUGCAUGGCUGUCGUCAGCUCGUGUUGUGAAAUGUUGGGUUAAGUCCCGCAACGAGCGCAACCCUUAUCCUUUGUUGCCAGCGGUCCGGCCGGGAACUCAAAGGAGACUGCCAGUGAUAAACUGGAGGGAGGUGGGGAUGACGUCAAGUCAUCAUGGCCCUUACGACCAGGGCUACACACGUGCUACAAUGGCGCAUACAAAGAGAAGCGACCUCGCGAGAGCAAGCGGACCUCAUAAAGUGCGUCGUAGUCCGGAUUGGAGUCUGCAACUCGACUCCAUGAAGUCGGAAUCGCUAGUAAUCGUGGAUCAGAAUGCCACGGUGAAUACGUUCCCGGGCCUUGUACACACCGCCCGUCACACCAUGGGAGUGGGUUGCAAAAGAAGUAGGUAGCUUAACCUUCGGGAGGGCGCUUACCACUUUGUGAUUCAUGACUGGG
Molecule: ribosomal RNA, 685 nt
Filed under: bacterium G3(2016)
Lineage: Bacteria
Description: bacterial SSU rRNA
Rfam family: Bacterial small subunit ribosomal RNA
Source: RNAcentral